UACAGAGGUGGCAAGCGUUGUUCGGAAUUACUGGGCGUAAAGGGCGCGUAGGCGGCCCGUCAAGUCCCGUGUGAAAGCCCCCGGCUCAACCGGGGAACGGCGCGGGAAACUAGCAGGCUUGAGUUCGGGAGAGGGAAGCGGAAUUCCGGGUGUAGCGGUGAAAUGCGCAGAUAUCCGGAGGAACACCGGUGGCGAAGGCGGCUUCCUGGACCGACACUGACGCUGAGGUGCGACAGCGUGGGGAGCAAACAGG
This 253-nucleotide ribosomal RNA is filed under the name uncultured bacterium. RNAcentral's name for it is "partial 16S ribosomal RNA". It matches the Rfam family "Bacterial small subunit ribosomal RNA", at positions 524 to 776 of the family's 1533-position model. The record is from RNAcentral.